GCCAGGUGCAGGAGGCAAUCAGCCUGACCCUUCGCUGAGCUGUUAACACUUAGCUGUCCACAGACUGUAAGCUGAGUGAAAUGAGUCACUCCAGUUCCUGCCCACAAGGGGUUCAAGGUCAAGGGAACAAGUACCAUCUCAAGGCAACCAUCAGGAACUGGCCUUAGGAGAUCCAGAAUAUCAAACCAAGGUUGAGAGUGUCCCAUCUCAGGAAAGAAUGAACAAUUGAUUUACAGCCUUGUUGCCUCCAGCUAGACCACCAGGUGGCCCAUUACCCAACAUAACCAUUGCAACUAGAUAAUGCUGACCUGCAUACCCUACCCCUCAGAGCUUUGCCCCGU
RNAcentral lists this long non-coding RNA (341 nucleotides) under Pan troglodytes (chimpanzee). RNAcentral describes it as "long non-coding RNA NONPTRT009243". Lineage: Eukaryota; Metazoa; Chordata; Mammalia; Primates; Hominidae. The record is from RNAcentral.